GGCAAAGUCCGGGCGCUGCCGCCGCCGCGGGCCGACGGGGUGGCGGGGUCCGUACAGACACUGCGGGGCUUCGUAUCCCCGAGUUCAUGUUCCCGAGGCCCCAAGCAGAGGGAGGCAGCAUUUCCUAUAAUCAGCUAUCAAUGAAUUUGCUUGUUUUCCUCCUCUUGAUUCCACCUUAAUUCUCAAGAGGUCAGAGCAUGCUAUGACAUACGAUAGCAGCAUGUUACCUAUGGAUAAAGGAAAUGAAAAAUAUCAACACUUCUGGUUACCUAUGUGAAGAAAUAUGACCUUAAUUUC
Molecule: long non-coding RNA, 297 nt
Organism: Neopelma chrysocephalum (saffron-crested tyrant-manakin)
Lineage: Eukaryota; Metazoa; Chordata; Aves; Passeriformes; Pipridae
Exons: 2
Source: RefSeq, a predicted model, not a curated record